AACGAACGCUGGCGGCAUGCCUAACACAUGCAAGUCGAACGAGACCUUCGGGUCUAGUGGCGCACGGGUGCGUAACGCGUGGGAACCUGCCCUUAGGUUCGGAAUAACUCCCCGAAAGGGGUGCUAAUACCGGAUAAUGUCUUCGGACCAAAGAUUUAUCGCCUUUGGAUGGGCCCGCGUUGGAUUAGCUAGUUGGUAGGGUAAAAGCCUACCAAGGCGACGAUCCAUAGCUGGUGUGAGAGGAUGCUCAGCCAGACUGGGACUGAGACACGGCCCAGACUCCGACGGGAAGCAGCAGUGGGGAAUAUUGGAGAAGGGGCGAAAGCCUGAUACAGCAAUGCCGCGUGAGUGAUGAAGGGCUUAGGGUUGUAAAGCUCUUUUACCCGGGAUGAUAAUGACAGUACCGGGAGAAUAAGCACCGGCUAACUCCGUG
This 433-nucleotide ribosomal RNA is filed under the name uncultured bacterium. RNAcentral's name for it is "partial 16S ribosomal RNA". It matches the Rfam family "Bacterial small subunit ribosomal RNA", at positions 29 to 507 of the family's 1533-position model. The record is from RNAcentral.